Long non-coding RNA from Sorghum bicolor (sorghum), 2602 nucleotides. RefSeq lists it as uncharacterized. NCBI's taxonomy places the organism in Eukaryota, Viridiplantae, Streptophyta, Magnoliopsida, Poales, Poaceae. The transcript has 2 exons. The record is from RefSeq and is a predicted model, not a curated record.
CUAUUCACACCUCACUCAUCUAUUCCUAAUUUAUCUUGCAUUUCAUCCACCGACGCCUCUCCUCUUUCCCAGCGCUCCUGCAUGCAGCUGCUCUCUCUCUCUCUCUCCCACCGCCGCUGAUCCUCCUCUCCUCAGCGCUCCUGCCUGAGCUGCUCUCUGUCGCCCCUUCUCUCUCUCUUUCUCUCUCUCUCUCUAUCCCCCUCUCUCUCCCGCAGCUUGCAUCUCUCCCUCUCUAUCCUGCCCUCUCUCCCUUCCUAUCCCUCUCUCUGUACCUAGAUCACAUCUCUCUUAGAUCCGCUCGUUUGAAGGUUUGAUCUAUCUAAUUUGACCUUUUGGGAUUCUCUAGUAUCUGUGAUAUGUUGUUUAUGGUUUCUGAGCUUAUUCAUCCGCAGGAUUUUUUCAGAUUAAUGUACUGGUAGACAAUCGAUUUGAACUACUCUUGAUUAAUUUCACUCGUAUCUACAGUUACUGAUCUAUUAGUACCCCGUGAUUUGUUUAUUGCUCUGCGAUUUGUUUUCCUCCUAUAAAUCCAGUUUUACAUUAUUUGACAUUUUUAUCGAUUUUCCCGUCGAAAUUUUUGAACUACUUCAUCCACUAGAUGAUUAGUUUUUUUUUCUUAUUUUUGAGUACGGCCACACUAUCAGCUUUGGUUGAUUUUUUUUGGUUGUUCUAUUCAAUACUACUAUUCUGUUUUCUAUUAUCUGUGCAGUUGUCUAAAAUAUUACCUAUAGUAUGAUAUUCAGUUGAUGAUGCACCACAAUAAAAUAAAGACAACACCUGCGUCAUAUCUUUUUUCUCUAUUAGUUUGUCUUUUGUUUUUAAAGUAUAAUGACUACUUUUGAACUAUACACACUGCUUUUUUAAGCAUUUUCGUUGUUAUAUAUGUACUGCUUCUUUGCAAGCAUUUUUUUUUUUUGCAGGUCAGGAUAUAUACUAUGGUGUCCACUCUUUUUUAAUUCUAGACGUUCAGUUGAGGAUAUAAUAUUUAGAGCUAAAUCAUCUUUUUUGCAGGUCUGGAUAAGAUUAAGUGUUGCCCCCUCCACCUCUGUCGUCUUAAUCAGAGAUAUUAGGGCUGGUGCUUUCCAACAAUUUCAGUUCUCUACUAUCAUCCAGGUUAUUUCCAACUCUUUUUUUAUACUAUAGUUCAACAUAUUUCCUAUAAUACUUAGCAUGUGAUUUUAUUAAAUUGAUAAAACAAUAUAAUGAUUACAAUGAUAUCUAAGGCAUGUCUUUAAUAUAUUUAUUUACUAUUUUUAAAUGAUAAUAUAAUAAUAUACAGCUGCUUUUUAAUCAUAGUAUUGGUUUAUAUGCAAUCAAUAAUCAUAUCAUUUUUGUAAGGCUGAAGAUUCAGUAGAUGAUGAUAUAGUGAGUUCACAAUGUUACUAAUAAUAUAUACCAUGUUAAUUCUUUCAAAAUGAUAAUAUAAUAAAUUGCAGCCAAAUGAUAUGCACGACAUUUCUAUUUAUGCUAAAGUGAAUGUUGCAUUUGAUCUUGAUUCACAAUGGAACCUCAUGCUGAUUAUAGUCUCCACUUUUCUUAGUUCAAGAUACUUGGUUACCUAGCAAGUGAAUGUUGCAUUGUUCGUUUUGACAGCAGCAAUAUUGUCCAUUUAUAUCCUAAGAUAUUAUCCUGUUGUCCUGCACUGUACCUCCUAAGCACAACAGUUGCUAUUUGAUUUUUUUAGGUGACAACUCUAUACUCUCACAGGAUAUCAUUGCCGAACUAUUUUUCAGCUCAUGGUCAGUUGAACUCUCAACUCCCCAAAAUGAAAUUCUUAGGCAAGUUUGUCAUCUAAGAUGUAAGAACGGUCUAUCAACUAAGUCCAUCUAUAUAAAAUCUCUCACUGGUCUCUGGCUUCUAAGUUGUGAGAAUAGCUAUUAUUCUUCAAAUUAUGUCCCAUUGUAUUUUUGGUCCUCUAGGUCAAACUUGUGAUGAGAAGCUAAUGAAGUAAUUCUGUUCUCUACUAUCUGCUAACUAAUUUCAACAGUUGCCACGUGACUUUGCCUUUACCCUUUCAACUCUUUAAUUUGUACCUGAUGUUGAUUCAUGGUUGGUGCUACAAUAAUUUACCUUUUAUCUUCCUGUAUGUAGAUCGUUGAAUUCUUCUAAGGUUGUUCCUUAUUCAUGUGAUGAAAGCACAUCCAGACUGCUGAUACGGAGUUUCCUAUGAGAGCUUUUGAGAUGCGGUUCAAUUCUUAGGUUCAUAUUAUAGUCGUUUUAGAACAUAAAGGCCUAGUUUAGAUCAAAAACCUUUUGGAUUUUGACAGUAUAGCACUUUCGUUUGUAUUUGAGGACUAACUACGUUUAAAAAAUUCGUCUCGCAAAUUACAGUUAAACUGUAUAAUUAGCGUUUCAAUUCUUCAGCCCAUAGCCCUUCAUGCUCUGUUACAUCCAAACACAGGCUAGUAAGAGUUUCAUGUAUGAUUUGUUAUUUUCGUUCAGGUUCUGUGUAUUGAUGUAGUACUAUACGUGAGCGAGCUCCGUGUCCGUGCUCCACGCCUCAACGUGAACUGUACAAAGACAAGCUUCGGCACCCUGUUGCAGAAACGAGAGAUGGAUGGAAUCCUCGUUGUUGUGUAUCAAUUAAUCUCGUUUUUGUGUA